RNAcentral lists this ribosomal RNA (620 nucleotides) under Drosophila hystricosa. Its description in RNAcentral is "partial 16S ribosomal RNA". It matches the Rfam family "Bacterial large subunit ribosomal RNA", at positions 1845 to 2760 of the family's 2925-position model. Lineage: Eukaryota; Metazoa; Arthropoda; Insecta; Diptera; Drosophilidae. The record is from RNAcentral.
UUAAAGUCUAACCUGCCCACUGAAAAUUUUUAAAUGGCCGCAGUAUCCUAACUGUGCAAAGGUAGCAUAAUCAUUAGUCUUUUAAUUGAAGGCUGGAAUGAAUGGUUGGACGAGAUAUUAACUGUUUCAUUUAAAUUUUAAAUAGAAUUUUAUUUUUUAGUCAAAAAGCUAAAAUAAAUUUAAAAGACGAGAAGACCCUAUAAAUCUUUAUAUUUUAUUUAUUUUAGUUAUAAAGAUUAUUUUUAUUACAAUAAAUUAAAAUAUUUUAUUGGGGUGAUAUUAAAAUUUAAAAAACUUUUAAUUUAAAAAUCCAUUAAUUUAUGAAUAAUUGAUCCAUUAAUAAUGAUUAAAAAUUUAAGUUACUUUAGGGAUAACAGCGUAAUUUUUUUGGAGAGUUCAUAUCGAUAAAAAAGAUUGCGACCUCGAUGUUGGAUUAAGAUAUAAUUUUGGGUGUAGCCGUUCAAAUUUUAAGUCUGUUCGACUUUUAAAUUCUUACAUGAUCUGAGUUCAAACCGGUGUAAGCCAGGUUGGUUUCUAUCUUUAAAAAAUUAAAAUAUUUUAGUACGAAAGGACCAAAUAUUAAAAUAAUUAUAUUUUAGAUAAGAAUAUUAUUAAUUUAA